ACUCCUACGGGAGGCAGCAGUGGGGAAUAUUGCACAAUGGGCGCAAGCCUGAUGCAGCCAUGCCGCGUGUAUGAAGAAGGCCUUCGGGUUGUAAAGUACUUUCAGCAGUGAGGAAGGUGAGUGUAGUUAAUAGCUGCUAUUAUUUGACGUUAGCUAGCAGAAGAAGCGACCGGCUAACUCCGUGCCAGCAGCCGCGGUAAUACGGAGGGUGCGAGCGUUAAUCGGAAUUACUGGGCGUAAAGCGCAUGCAGGUGGUUUGUUAAGUCAGAUGUGAAAGCCCGGGGCUCAACCUCGGAAUAGCA
RNAcentral lists this ribosomal RNA (302 nucleotides) under uncultured bacterium. RNAcentral's name for it is "bacterial SSU rRNA". It matches the Rfam family "Bacterial small subunit ribosomal RNA", at positions 335 to 625 of the family's 1533-position model. The record is from RNAcentral.